CCUACGGGUGGCAGCAGUGAGGAAUCUUGGUCAAUGGACGAGAGUCUGAACCAGCCACGUAGCGUGAAGGAUGACUGCCCUAUGGGUUGUAAACUUCUUUUAUAUGGGAAUAAAAUGUUCCACGUGUGGGAUUUUGUAUGUACCAUAUGAAUAAGGAUCGGCUAACUCCGUGCCAGCAGCCGCGGUAAUACGGAGGCUCCGAGCGUGAUCCGGAUUUAUUGGGUUUAAAGGUAGCGUAGGUGGUUUGUUAAGUCAGUUGUGAAAGUUGUCGGAUCAACCGUAAAAUUGCAGUUGAAACUGGCAGUCUUGAGUACAGUAGAGGUGGGCGGAAUUCGUGGUGUAGCGGUGAAAUGCUUAGAUAUAACGAAGAGCUCCGAUGGCGAAGGCAGUUCACUGGACUGCAACUGACACUGAGGCUCGAAAGUGUGGGUAUCAAACAGGAUUAGAUACCCCAGUAGUC
RNAcentral lists this ribosomal RNA (460 nucleotides) under uncultured bacterium. Its description in RNAcentral is "partial 16S ribosomal RNA". It matches the Rfam family "Bacterial small subunit ribosomal RNA", at positions 338 to 795 of the family's 1533-position model. The record is from RNAcentral.